UCCGGUUUGUCACCGGCAGUCUCAUUAGAGUGCCCUUGCGUAGCAACUAAUGAUAAGGGUUGCGCUCGUUGCGGGACUUAACCCAACAUCUCACGACACGAGCUGACGACGGCCAUGCAGCACCUGUGUUCAGAUUCCCUUUCGGGCACCCUCACAUCUCUGCGAGGUUCCUGGCAUGUCAAGGGUAGGUAAGGUUUUUCGCGUUGCAUCGAAUUAAUCCACAUAAUCCACCGCUUGUGCGGGUCCCCGUCAAUUCCUUUGAGUUUUAACCUUGCGGCCGUACUCCCCAGGCGGUCAACUUCACGCGUUAGCUUCGUUACUAAGAGAUUUAACUCUCCCAACAACCAGUUGACAUAGUUUAGGGCGUGGACUAC
This 374-nucleotide unclassified non-coding RNA is filed under the name uncultured Gammaproteobacteria bacterium. RNAcentral describes it as "contains 16S-23S intergenic spacer region". Lineage: Bacteria; Pseudomonadati; Pseudomonadota; Gammaproteobacteria. The record is from RNAcentral.